This is a long non-coding RNA of Nanorana parkeri, 317 nucleotides long. RefSeq lists it as uncharacterized. The record is from RefSeq and is a predicted model, not a curated record. The transcript has 3 exons. Lineage: Eukaryota; Metazoa; Chordata; Amphibia; Anura; Dicroglossidae.
GUGGAUGAGGGAGUGCUGGGCUGUCAUUCCUCUGGAAUUGCAGCUUGUUAUGUUUCUGGAGAUCCCCAUUUCUACACAUUUGAUAAGGUCAUGCACACUUUCAUGGGUACUUGUACUUACACACUGGUGGAUGUAUGUGACAAGAGAAGUAUCAUACCUCUCACCAUCAAAGGGAAAACAGAGGACCGAGGGCAACGAGCUGCAACAUAUCUCAAAGAAGUUUAUAUUGAUGUGUAUGGCAUUCGUAUUACACUGCAGAAAGAUAGGAGAACUCUGGUGGGUGAUACUCUCAUCCAUACACCAUGGACUGGACAUUU